RNAcentral lists this ribosomal RNA (570 nucleotides) under Triticum aestivum (bread wheat). RNAcentral's name for it is "partial small subunit ribosomal RNA". The record is from RNAcentral. Lineage: Eukaryota; Viridiplantae; Streptophyta; Magnoliopsida; Poales; Poaceae.
AUGUCUGUUCUGAAAUAUGUGGAGAAAGAAGGUAAAAAUGAAAAGAAAAGUCAGGCGCGUGGUCUUGUAGCAUAUUUUGAGACCUUUGAUUUUGUGUUUUAUUUGCACAUGAUGCUGCAUAUAUUAGGAAAUGCAAAUACUUUGUCACAUUCUUUACAAAAGAAGGAUCAAGACAUCCUAAAUGCCAUGUCAUGUGUCAAGUCCACAAGGAAUGAGCUACAAGAACUAAGGGAGAAUGGAUGGGACUCACUGAUACAGAAGUCAUAUUCAUUUUGUGAAGAACAUGACAUUGAGAAGGCGGACAUGCUGGAGCAAUAUAUCAAUCGACACAAACCAAGACAAAAAACUAAUAAGACAAACCUCCAGCAUUACCGAGUAGAGUGUCUUAAUUCUGUAAUUGACUGGCAACUUCAAGAGUUUGAUGACCGUUUCAAUGAGGUAAAUUCUGCAUUACUUGGUCACAUGGCUUCUUUCAACCCAAACGAUGGAUUUGUUACUUUUAACUUGGAUAGCUUAGUGAAGCUAGCUGAGUUUUAUCCAGAUGAUUUUGAUUCAAAAAAAAAUGGAUGA